AAAUAUAAAGAGUUUGAUCCUAGCUCCGAAUGAAUGCUAGUAGUAUGCUUAAACACAUGCUAGUUUUAUAGUCUUUUUAAAUGAAUUUUUUUAAAUUUGUUUUGAAGAUUAUGGCGUAAAGGUGAGUAUGUUAAGUUAUGUUAUCUAAAAAUUGCUGGAAAAUUAAUAUUUAAUCAGUAAUAAUUAAUAAAGAAAGUUUUUAAAUUUUUGUUUUUAGAUAUGUAACUUACAAAGAUUAAAUUGUUGGUAAGGUAAAAGCUUACCAAGUUAUAGAUCUUUAGUUGAUUUGUGAGAAUGACCAACCACAUCGAGAUUGAAAAAAAGCUCGAACUUAUUUUAAGGCAGCAGUGGGGAAUCUUGGACAAUGAACGAAAGUUUGAUCCAGCAAUACUACAUAAGUGAAGAAGGCUUUAUCGCUGUAAAACUUAAUAAUUUAAUUAAAGUAUGAUUAUUAAAUGAAAAGUUCUGACAAACUCUGUGCCAGCAGUCGCGGUAAUACAGAGGGAACGAGCAUUAUUCGUCUUUACUGGGCGUAAAGGGUCUUAAAAUGAUUUUUUUAUAUUAAAAAUAAAAGAUUAAAGCUUAACUUUAAUAGAGUUUUAAUAUUGAAAAAUUUGAGUAUGAAAUAGGAUUUUAGAAUUUCUAAUGUAGGGGUAAAAUCCGUUGAUAUUAGGAGGAAUACCUGUUGGUGAAAACAAAAAUCUAAUUCAUUACUGACAUUGAUAGACGAAAGCAUGGGGAGCAAACAGGAUUUGGUACCCUGGUAGUCCAUGCUAUAAACAAUGAAUAUUAAAUAUUAGAUCUGGUUAAUCAUAAUUUUCAAAAUUAUGGGAGGAUAAAUUGAAGUCUAAUAUAUAUAGUUAACACGUUAAAUAUUUCGCCUGGGGAGUAAAACCGCAAGGUUGAAACUCAAAGGAAUUGACGGGAGCUUAUACUUACGGUGGAGCAUGUGGUUUAAUCCGAUAGUCCGCGUGGAAUCUUACCAAUUUUUGACAUUCAUUAAUUUUUAAAAAAUGAAACAGGUGUUGCAUGGCCGUUGUCAGCUUAUGUUUUGAAAUUUAAAUAUAAGUUUAACCCUUAGUUUAAUUUACUAAUAUUUGGACAUCUAAUUAAAUACCAAAUAAGUACUAUUAAAAAAAUAUAAUUUUUUAUAUUUUAAAGGAUGAAAAUAGGUCGUUAUGACCCUUAUAAAUUGGGCUACACAUGUGCUACAAUAUUUUUGACAAAAAGUGGCAAUUAUGAAAAUAAGAGCAAAUCUUUAAAUAAAAAUUAAAUACGAAUUAUAGAUUGAAACUUAUCUAUAUGAAGUUGGAAUCGUAAGUAAUCGUAAAUUAGUAUGUUACGGUGAAUCAUAGUACUUAAGCUUUGUACACACCGCCCGUCACAUUAAAGAAGUAAUUUUCGAUUGAAAUUUUUGUUAAUUAAAUAAUAUUUAAUUAUAAGUUUUUUAUAAUUAUUAGAUUUAAUUUAAUAAAAAUUAAAUUAUAAAUUAUAAUUUUAAUGAAGUCGUAACAAGGUAACCGUAUGGGAACAUGCGGUUGGAAU
RNAcentral lists this ribosomal RNA (1545 nucleotides) under Blastocystis sp. subtype 8. RNAcentral describes it as "small subunit ribosomal RNA". It matches the Rfam family "Bacterial small subunit ribosomal RNA". The record is from RNAcentral. Lineage: Eukaryota; Bigyra; Opalinata; Blastocystidae.